GCGGAAGUAGCUCAGUUGAUAGAGCAUUAGCCUUCCAAGCUGAGGGUCGCGGGUUUGAGCCCGUCUUCCGCU
This 72-nucleotide transfer RNA is filed under the name Phocaeicola vulgatus. Its description in RNAcentral is "Bacteroides vulgatus tRNA-Gly". It matches the Rfam family "tRNA". Rfam says of the family: Transfer RNA (tRNA) molecules are approximately 80 nucleotides in length. Their secondary structure includes four short double-helical elements and three loops (D, anti-codon, and T loops). The record is from RNAcentral. Lineage: Bacteria; Pseudomonadati; Bacteroidota; Bacteroidia; Bacteroidales; Bacteroidaceae. RNAcentral also lists the same sequence under 2 other names.